GAGGAAAGCAGUGGCGCAGGAGGCUGAGGGUCCUGGGAUGCUUCCUAGGGGAUUCCUAUCACAAUCACCAGGUUGGCAACGUGAGGCUGCCUGGAAAGCCUGCAAGGCAAACUGACCUCGGUGUAAGGACGAGGCUAUUGCGUUCAUCUCUCUGAACAUCUUUGAUUCCAGAACAUCUACCCAGAAUCAAGCACCAUGGAGAAAAAAUGGUGGAAUGACCUUCUAAAGGCCGCAGAAGGAGUUGAAACUGAGAUGAGAUCAAGGAGCUCCUGACUACCCUGCCCCCAGGGAAAACAUCAGAUUGUUCUGCAUCUCUCUUCUGCAACUAUUGCACUGACAAAGGCCUUUUGCCACACUCACAUAAGCGUGUCUACAAGAUGGAUUUUUAUGACUGCAGUGGAAUUUGGGAGAUGGCCGGGACACUUUGGUUUCCAGCAAUCCCAUAUCAUACUUCCCUCAUGUGCUUCUCUCUCUCCUGCCUCUAUGCAUUUUUCAAUAAACCGGCAAAAUUACCCAUGAGCAAGGCUGUAAGGGACAGCACAGAGCCAGUGAAAUCAUACGCCUCCUGUGCUUGUAUAGUUAGCAGCAAGUGUAUAUAACACAGCCCUGCCCUUCCUCUUCUAAUGAAAGUGGCUCGCCACCAGGAAAAGCAGUAACACCCUUGUUUUACACCACCUCCACAAAGUUAUGAGAAGGUGUACAAUUUUGUAUGGUUUUUCUAAGAAAUGGAAGAUCUUCCAAGCAAGGCUCAAGAAAGAGAAUCACCCUAUAAGUCAGUGUUGGAAACGCAGACUGGAAAAUCAAGUGCCGACUUUGCAUUGUCGCAGAUAAUAGAUGGUGAAUGGUGGGCUCAAGUUUAGUGACAUGCACUUCGGCUGUGCAGAGUUACUCGUGUUAGACUACUGUAACAUGAAAAGGAUCGUUCACGUGGCACAGCAAGAUGGUACAGUUAGAUGCAUGCACCACACAGCCAUUUAUUUGGCUUCUGUCCGUUCCUCGCUGGGAAUUAAACUGAGAAGAAAUUCUCUUCCAAGGUUUGAAAAGCAUCUGCAAAAGUUAGAAACUCCUAGGGAAAAAAAACAACAAAAAAAAGAAAAACACAAACACAAAACAGCUUAUUUGUUCAUCCAUCAUAUUUUCCAG
Molecule: long non-coding RNA, 1143 nt
Filed under: Gallus gallus (chicken)
Lineage: Eukaryota; Metazoa; Chordata; Aves; Galliformes; Phasianidae
Description: lncRNA (ENSGALG00010020722.1)
Source: RNAcentral